Molecule: ribosomal RNA, 798 nt
Filed under: Bacteroidetes bacterium SCGC AAA076-B23
Lineage: Bacteria; Pseudomonadati; Bacteroidota
Also listed under: 1 other name
Description: bacterial SSU rRNA
Rfam family: Bacterial small subunit ribosomal RNA
Source: RNAcentral
CAUUGGUGCUUGCACCAGAUGACGAGUGGCGCACGGGUGCGUAACGCGUAUGCAAUCUACCUUUUACUAGAGUAUAGCCCAGAGAAAUUUGGAUUAAUCCUCUAUAAUAUCUUUAAGUUUCAUGACUUUUAGAUUAAAGUUUUAACGGUAAAAGAUGAGCAUGCGUCCUAUUAGUUUGUAGGUGAGGUAACGGCUCACCUAGACUACGAUAGGUAGGGGCCCUGAGAGGGGGAUCCCCCACACUGGUACUGAGACACGGACCAGACUCCUACGGGAGGCAGCAGUAAGGAAUAUUGGACAAUGGACGAAAGUCUGAUCCAGCCAUGCCGCGUGCAGGAUGAAAGCCCUAUGGGUUGUAAACUGCUUUUAUACAGGAAGAAACACUCGUACGUGUACGAGCUUGACGGUACUGUAAGAAUAAGGACCGGCUAACUCCGUGCCAGCAGCCGCGGUAAUACGGAGGGUCCGAGCGUUAUCCGGAAUCAUUGGGUUUAAAGGGUCCGCAGGCGGUCUUUUAAGUCAGAGGUGAAAGCCUACAGCUCAACUGUAGAACGGCCUUUGAUACUGAAAGACUUGAGUUAUUAUGAAGUGGUUAGAAUGUGUGGUGUAGCGGUGAAAUGCAUAGAUAUCACACAGAAUACCGAUUGCGAAGGCAGAUCACUAAUAAUAUACUGACGCUCAUGGACGAAAGCGUGGGGAGCGAACAGGAUUAGAUACCCUGGUAGUCCACGCCGUAAACGAUGGAUACUAGCUGUUCGUCUAACAUUGGUUAGAUGAGUGGCUAAGCGAAAGUGAUAA